CCUGGUGACAAUCGCGAGGGGGUCCCACCCGUUCCCAUUCCGAACACGGAAGUUAAGCCCCUCAGCGCCGAUGGUACUGCAGUUCGCUGUGGGAGAGUAGGUCGUCGCCAGGC
RNAcentral lists this ribosomal RNA (113 nucleotides) under Spirochaeta africana DSM 8902. The record is from RNAcentral. Lineage: Bacteria; Pseudomonadati; Spirochaetota; Spirochaetia; Spirochaetales; Spirochaetaceae.